RNAcentral lists this ribosomal RNA (512 nucleotides) under uncultured bacterium. RNAcentral's name for it is "bacterial SSU rRNA". It matches the Rfam family "Bacterial small subunit ribosomal RNA", at positions 15 to 518 of the family's 1533-position model. The record is from RNAcentral.
GAUCAUGGCUCAGGAUGAACGCUAGCUACAGGCUUAACACAUGCAAGUCGAGGGGCAGCGUUGGAGUAGCAAUACUCAGAUGGCGACCGGCGCACGGGUGAGUAACACGUAUCCAACCUGCCGCUUACUCGGGGAUAGCCUUUCGAAAGAAAGAUUAAUACCCGAUGGUAUAAAGAGUUCGCAUGUUCUCUUUAUUAAAGAAUUUCGGUAAGCGAUGGGGAUGCGUUCCAUUAGAUAGUUGGCGGGGUAACGGCCCACCAAGUCUACGAUGGAUAGGGGUUCUGAGAGGAAGGUCCCCCACAUUGGAACUGAGACACGGUCCAAACUCCUACGGGAGGCAGCAGUGAGGAAUAUUGGUCAAUGGACGAGAGUCUGAACCAGCCAAAAGUAGCGUGAAGGAUGACUGCCCUAUGGGUUGUAAACUUCUUUUAUAAGGGAAUAAAGUGAGGGACGUGUCCCUUUUUGUAUGUACCUUAUGAAUAAGGAUCGGCUAACUCCGUGCCAGCCGCGGC